This 497-nucleotide ribosomal RNA is filed under the name uncultured bacterium. RNAcentral's name for it is "partial 16S ribosomal RNA". It matches the Rfam family "Bacterial small subunit ribosomal RNA", at positions 28 to 507 of the family's 1533-position model. The record is from RNAcentral.
GAUGAACGCUGGCGGCGUGCCUAAUACAUGCAAGUCGAGCGAACAGACGAGGAGCUUGCUCCUUCGACGUUAGCGGCGGACGGGUGAGUAACACGUAGGUAACCUACCUAUAAGACUGGGAUAACUUCGGGAAACCGGAGCUAAUACCGGAUAAUAUUUCGAACCGCAUGGUUCGAUAGUGAAAGAUGGCUUUGCUAUCACUUAUAGAUGGACCUGCGCCGUAUUAGCUAGUUGGUAAGGUAACGGCUUACCAAGGCAACGAUACGUAGCCGACCUGAGAGGGUGAGCGGCCACACUGGAACUGAGACACGGUCCAGACUCCUACGGGAGGCAGCAGUAGGGAAUCCUCCGCAAUGGGCGAAAGCCUGACGGAGCAACGCCGCGUGAGUGAUGAAGGUCUUCGGAUCGUAAAACUCUGUUAUUAGGGAAGAACAAACGUGUAAGUAACUGUGCACGUCUUGACGGUACCUAAUCAGAAAGCCACGGCUAACUACGUG